GACGAACCGUGCGAACGUUAUUCGGAAUCACUGGGCUUAAAGCGCGUGUAGGCGGGCCGCCACGUCGGCUGCUGAAAUCCCCCCGGCUCAACCGGGGAACGGGCACCGAUACGAGCGGCCUGGAGGGGGGUAGGGGGCACUGGAACUUCCGGUGGAGCGGUGAAAUGCGUUGAGAUCGGAAGGAACGCCCGUGGCGAAAGCGAGUGCCUGGACCCUUACUGACGCUGAGACGCGAAAGCCAGGGGAGCGAACGGG
This 255-nucleotide ribosomal RNA is filed under the name uncultured bacterium. RNAcentral's name for it is "partial 16S ribosomal RNA". It matches the Rfam family "Bacterial small subunit ribosomal RNA", at positions 524 to 776 of the family's 1533-position model. The record is from RNAcentral.